ACACUACGCUAAACGAGACCUCUGGUUAUUAAAAGAACAUUUUACUACUGAGAAUAAUUCAGUUCGCGUGACUAGACGGAAUCACUGUUUUGCCAGCCAUUCGACAGUGGAAUUCUAAUUCAAGUUAUUAAGUAGAUUUUCGUUCUAUGUAGGAAUCUCCUGUUCAUGGCCACAGUUAUACGUCUAAGUGACUGAUUCUGGCGACAAGAGAAGCUUUAACGUUUCAGUUGUAUAAACUCCUUGGUGACUGACUGACCCUGGCUCGUUUUCAAGUGAGUUAAAAACAAACUGCAGGACCAUAGAACUUCUCCCCAAGAAUAAAAACAGCUGCACGACUACGAAACUUCUUUGAAAGGUAAGAACUCUGCCAACAUUUCUACAACUAAAAACAAUUCAAGGGAAGUUUUUAAUCUGUUGCUAGUGUGGACUAAAGGUAGUAGGCAUUACGUACACCUGUGUUGGAGAGACACGAGAGAUGUCUUCCUGCCGAGGACGUAUUUUUUGUCUUUCCUCGUGUUUCCACGUACCCAUUGUAUGAAGAUUUCUAAGUUCUAAAAUUUGAUUUAACUUAGAGGGUGUCAGCAAAUUGAUCCAAUUCCUAACCGGCCGCAUGCAUUUCCAAUCAAGGUCGUCCGAUCAAGGUCGGUAGUUUGGGGUGGCGUGACAAUUUGUAAAAUUAAACCUUCGAUUCCGCUUGAGUGCUUCUGAUCUCGUGAUCGUUGCAGACUUUGAUCUGUUCAGACAACACCCUGUCUGCUGAAGGAACGGUUUUCUAUUUUAUCGGUGGAUAAAAUGAACUGAUUCUAGAAGGGACUUCAGGAAUCUCCUGUUCAUGGCCACAGUUGUACGUGGAAGAGACUGAUUGUGGCCACAAGAGAAGCUUUAACUUUUCAGUUGUAUCAACUCCUUGGUGACUGACUGACCCUGGCUCGUUUUCAAGUGCAGAACCAUAGAACUUCUCUGCAAGAAUAAAAACAGCUGCACGACUACAGAACUUCUCUGCAAGGAAUCUCCUGUUCAUGGCCACAGUUAUACGUCGAAGUGACUGAUUCUAGCGACAAGAGAAGCUUUAACUUUUCAGGUGUCUAUAUCUGGAGUUAUUUUGCUCACAGAAGCCAACAUAUCAAGACUUGACUUGAGUUGUAUAAACCCUUUGGUGACUGACUGACACUGGCUCGUUUUCAAGUGCAUAGAAACUUUUCUGCACAAGUGGAACAGACUAAGUUGAAGUGAACUCUUUGAAGUUGACACGAGAAGAAGGACAGUAUUUCUUUAAAGAUGAUGCAGAAAUAACUUUCAGUAAUUCAUUCAACGACUUCAUUUAUUUGGCAUUUCUGACCAAUUGCAUGCCCCACGGAGCUGUAGACAUGGAUGAAAUUUCUCCUCUCCAGUCCUCACCGGAAGCUGUACCUGGAACAUCAAGAGAUGGCACACCCACCGAUGAUGAAUUAGAAGAACUGGGCAAUGAAAUUGUAGAAUGGAAAAGGCUUGGGCGUCGCCUUAAGGUCAGUGAGCCAAAGCUUGCAGAAAUAUCUCAAGCUCCUGACCAACUGUCUGAAAAGACAUACUACAUGUUGAAGCACUGGAAACAAGUUAAUGGUCAUUCAGCAACCUACAAGACUUUGUGCAAAGCAUUAAAACACAAAUUUGUACAGCGCCAAGACUUGGCAGACCGGUUUUGUUACAUUAAUGAACCUUUUACCAUUCAGCAGCCCGCUGGUGCAGUACCAGCAGGGAGAGUGACAGGAGAAGUCUCUGGUGCUACUGCAAGUACUCUGAA
RNAcentral lists this unclassified non-coding RNA (1780 nucleotides) under Orbicella faveolata. RNAcentral's name for it is "d-inositol 3-phosphate glycosyltransferase-like, transcript variant X15". Lineage: Eukaryota; Metazoa; Cnidaria; Anthozoa; Scleractinia; Merulinidae. The record is from RNAcentral.